This 36713-nucleotide long non-coding RNA is filed under the name Triticum aestivum (bread wheat). Its description in RNAcentral is "long non-coding RNA (TAES_LNC002832)". The stretch from base 1231 to 1365 matches the Rfam family "MIR1120/MIR1122 microRNA precursor family". The record is from RNAcentral. Lineage: Eukaryota; Viridiplantae; Streptophyta; Magnoliopsida; Poales; Poaceae.
AGAGAUGUAGGCACCAUGAAAACAUAUUGGCGUAUUGUGUUGUGCUAGUUGCUUUGAGUUGCGCUAACCCAAACAUAGUACUGUGUAAUUGUUGCGUUUGUGUGGCUGCUGUGAUGGAAAUUAAUAAUAGAAUCUCAAACUCUACCACUGGGUUAGCUGGAGUAUUUUUAAAUUUGCAUCAUUUAGAGCAAUCUGGAACUGAUACUGCCUGUCUACUAUAUGUGUCUGGGUGAUUAGCUCAAAUUUGGCAACUCGUGCAUGGCAUAUGCUGUGUAUCUGGAGUGAUGAAUUAAUUUAUAAAUAUAUGUGUGUUAUAUUUGUUUGUACACUUGAGUCGGAGUGCUGUCCUUUAGCAAUUGAAACUUUGAACUGAAAUUUUAUCUUGAGCGGAGCAGAACUAAAACGCCCUCAUGCUGAAUCCAAAACUCGGCACCCAAUGUUACUGGAGCAUCAAACACUAAUUACAUGGCCAAAUUUCAGCUCAUAAUGAAUCUAUGUUUGUUAGUGACCUUCCCUCAUGUUUUGUGGAAAUUUUAUGCUAAUUACACUACUUUUCUUUGUUGCUUUUGAUUUACAGAGAGUUCUAAAGGCUGCGGGGAUAUUUGCUGGAUCCAUCUUUUUGAUGCGCACCUUUGGUGACAUGAUGGUAGUUUAAGGACGUUGUAGUGGCUGAGCAGGGUAAUGGUGGUUCCAUGCCCAUUUUCGUUGUGUGCCUUGUGAUCAGGCUUGUGGAAUAUUUGUACUCAGACUUGUCGGUUUCUUGUUGAGUUGGUGUUUGAAGCAUUUCUCGGCAGGGCUAUUUGACUGUUCUUUUUUAGUUGAGCACUUAAUCUUCUAUGAGUAUAAUAAGUUCAUGUCCAGUUUGCUGUUAGGUCAACACAACCGUAGGCUUGUGUUGAAUUAACAGUCUAAUUCUAUUGUUUAGAUGCAACAUUUUGAUUAUGUUAAUAUGGGUGUUUGCCGAUGUUCUUCUCGAAUGGCUAGUUAUUCAUUGUUCUGUGACAUUCUGGAUGCAAUCCCAGCAGUUGCAUUUCUUGAUGUCAGUUCUCAGAAACUCAUGUAGUUCAUCUGUCUUGAAUACUUCUCUGUUAAUCGGAUGCCAUCGUUGACAGGGCACACUUGCACUCCUUGGAGGAUCCCAUGCCAAAUACGGUUGUGCCUGCCCACAGGGGUUCCAAAGCGCCGUAGGCUAUUUGGUACCUACCAAUUUCGGAUGUAUGACUUCAUAAUAUAAUACUCCCUCCGUCCCAAAAUUCUUUUCUUAGAUUUGUCUAUAUACGGAUGUACCUAAUACUAAAACGUGACUUGAUACAUCCGCAUUUGGACAAAUCUAAGACAAGAAUUUUGGGACGGAGGGAGUAGAUAACUGUCACAUUCCCAACGAUAAAUAUUACUCUCUGAGUAUUGAAAUCGAAACCUGGAUGUUUCGCGUCACAGGAUGGCCGUCUCGUAUGCUUUCAUGAUGUAACCCUGGAUGUUUGCUUACAGUAGAUUUUAAAGUAGCAUGGUUUAAUAGAUUUUAAAGCGAAUUGAAAUCACAUGUUCAGGGAUCAACAGUACAAUUGUACGCCUUGUCCUCUCUUUUUCUAGCGUUAUUUAUUUUGUUUAUUGCAUUCUUCUGCCUUAGACACUGCUCAUGUUCAUAUCAAUAAUCAAAUAAAAUCAUGUUAUUUUUGGUUGCAUGUCCCGCAGAUGUCUUGGUCUUUAUUGAUUAAUAUAUAUGCAUGCUCUUAUAAAUACUUAAAUCCUAUUUUCUUUUGCCUUAAUUUAAAACACUAUUUUGCUAUGGAAUUGCCAAUGAUGAUCUCCUGCUAUAUUGUACUCCCUCUGUUCGGAGUUACUUGUCGCAAAAAUGAAUUAAAAUGGAUGUAUUUAUAGAACUAAAAUAUGCCUAGGUACAUUCAUUUUUCCGACAAGUAUUUCGGGACGGAGGGAGUAGGAAAGUAAAAGAUCCUUACAUUUGAUGAGUAUAUCUUGAUUGCACUUAAUGCUGACAGGAUGGUUGGAAUAUACCGAGAGAUCAAGGAUCCUAUUUUCUUCAACCUGAGAACAGUUUGUGUUCUCAAAGUACUGAACCAACUUUAAUGUGGAAAAUGUCUUCUUGGAAAUUCACUGUAUGAUUCUUGAAUAAUCAUGUACUAGGUAAAGUGGUCAUGUGGCAAAAAAGUUGGAGGACAGGAUCGUCGAGGCACUUCUGAAGUAUGGCUACAAAGGCGAAUACAUGUCUGAAGAUUGGCUCAAGCAGCCAGUAUUCAUCCCAUCCUUUGCUCCAACUUCACUCAUUUACAUCCCAAACAUGACAAACUCCAGAAGUUUUUCUAAUAGAUGAUACCAUAAAAAAAACUGAUAUCAGCAGUAAGCACUAGCGGGCUUUUCCUACAAAAACUCCUUUUUUUCAAAGACAUUUUCUAACGUGCAGCCGUACUAUGAGAUAACUUCAAAUGGUUAUCUCGCGUUCAUAGUAUAUACUCCACACACAUUCAGAAAUCAGAAUUCAUUCCUGCACUUCAACUUCCUCCAAGACCCUUAUGUUGAAUAUGACUAUAUGUGUACUCUUAACAAGAUCAGUAUUGCGGCCUGUUCACCGAUUUCACCGGCACCUUGCACAGGUCCCAGCACUGCACAGCUCCACUCCAUACCAAAUGAAGUAAAAUAAGGUAGAGGCACUCCUGCAUGAGAUCUCCUACAUGCUGAAGGAUGAUGGAUACUAAGCUUAUGUUCCCAAGUCUGCAUACUGUUCUCACCGUUAACACCACUGAGAAAAAGGAUGUGUGCUGCCAUUCUCUGUAAAAUAUACAAAUAAAUCACAGGAAUGCUAACUAUAGAGCAUCACAAAGUAAAAAUUGUCAUAAAAUCUGGAAGAAUUGCACUGUUUAUACUUUAUACUACUUUAUAAUGAUUCCUAGUAAAAAAAAGUAGUUCUGAAAUAAGUACUAUAUUCAUGGCAUAUUGGCAUUUAUUCUCAACUCUAAAUAAUGAGAGUAAGAUGGAAGAUAUGGUUUAACAUACACGAGGCCAAAGAAAUCUUUCUUUUUCCAUGAGACAUGUCAACGACUUAUAAAUUUACGCAGAGUCUUGCUUGUUACCUAGCCUUGAAUACAGAAUAUGAAUAUAUCUUCCUAGCGGGCCAAAUAAAGGCCCAGUUCUUUUCAGGCAAGAUUCUACAGAAUCAGGAUUCUGCAAAAUUCUCCCAAAAUCUGCUUCUCCCAGAAUCUGCCGCCGAGUUCUUUUCAGAGAUUGUAGUUUGAGAUUCUAGAAAGUGUUGUGUGUUGAAAUGCCUGUACUAUCCUUAGACAAAAAUUUCUUGGAUGAAAUGUAUUUUAUCUAUCAACAAUAGCUAGCAUCAAUUCAAGCAUUAUUCAAGCAUGAAGAAACAGAGAGAUGUAAAAAGGAGGGCUCAUCGUGAGUGUCGGCGUCGAACUUUGCGGGACGGGGCUGAGGGCCGGGACGGACUGAGGGGCGAGGAGGAGCUAAGGAGGGAAGCUGGCCGGCGGGGACGGUAACCCUAGCUGCUGCCGCGCAGCUGACGGGGCGGGGUGAACUGCUGGGCGAGGAGGGCGGGGCGGACCGGGCAAGGGAGGCUGGCUGGCGGGGGCGGGGGCGGCUCGAAGGUCCGCUGCCCCGAUGCGGUGCGGGAACUGGGAGACGAGUGCGCGGUUGGGUGCGUCCGCUCGUUGACUGCGGGGUGGCAUUUUGACCGUAAAUAUGUGAUACAAUAGGGGUACAACUAUACUUCGAAACGUUUUCUUUGGUGGGACUAGCUAGAAUCCUGAGAUUGUGGGAGAGGCCAGGUAUAUUGGGAUUUUGGGAUUGCAUUAGGAUUCUACAGAAUCCGAUUGAGAUUUUGAAAGUUCAAUCGGUUCUUUUCGCUCGGGAUUUUCGGGACCGAGAUUCUCCAUAAUCUGCUCAAAAGAACUGGGCCAAAAUCUCUCGGGGUGAAAUGUGUGUGCAUUAACUAAUUCUGGUUCCAAUGUUAUGUGGAUGCUGACCUUCAUGCGAAAUGUACGCGUGAAAACAAAUUGUGUGAGACACUUAUCACUUACAUGUUGGCCUACUACACAACAUACAUAAACAAUCACUAUAUAUAUCCAGCCUGCUUCCAUACACUACACUCCUGCUUCAUUUACUUAGUUAAAUGUGUAGGAGUUUGAUUUUUUUUUCGUUGGUAAAGUUCUGAGAUAGUGGAGGCAACCACAGACUCAAUGGAGUAUGUCGCGAGCUUAGGAUGUCUCGGAAGUUACAGACAAUCAAAUACGGCGUGUGUGUCAUGUUUAGGCUGCCGUGGGCCAUGGUUAGUAGUUGUUCUUACCAGCUGAUCAAGAAUUCGUCCGAUUAAUCAGUUAACGGACUAGUUAAUCGCUACUUGUAGGAUGGUCAAAUCGAAUAGCACAUAUUUGGCGCGUUAACUUGCCAUGCCGAUUAACUGGCGUGGUUGGUAUAUUGCAUAGCUGAGAGUUUGAGAGUAUGGUGUAAUACAUAAAAGAUUAGAUAUAUGUUGCCAGACAAAGUUCGGCAUGCUUCUCGAGAGGACCGGACAAGAAGUUCUGGAAGAAAAUGCGGAGGCUUCCGAUUCCACCCAAAGUUCCGAAUUUUUGGUGGCGGGUCAUCAAGGGUUUUGUCCCUUCUAGAGGGGUAUUAUGCCAAAGACAUAUUUAGCAGGUUGAUUUCUGCCAUGCUUGUGGGCAACAGGAUACCAUUCGGCAUGCUUUAUUCGAGUGUACUUAGGCAAGAAUGUUUUGGCAAGAGAUCAAGAAAUUGACAUCAACUAAGGUACCGCUCACGCACCCUGAAACCUGGGUGAUGGACUUGCAUCAUUCUAUGCGGUUCAUGGGCUGUUUGGACGGAGAGAAAUGCACGCAACCAUGGAGAAACUACUCGGUCCAUAGCACAAUCUGUAAAAUGGGCAAUUGAUGUAGCCACAGAUCUCGCAGUUACAGGAUCACAACAUGUAGUACGCGUGAACAAAGAACUGCAGAAGUGGAAACCGCAAGAAGAAAGGUUCACUAAAGUUAAUGUGGAUGCUGCGUUCUGGGGAGAAACUCAUGAAGGAGGGACUGGCGCAGGUCUGCAAAAUCAUGAUGGUAAGCUGCUCAGAGCAUAAUCCAUAUGGUAUGAAAACGGGUCUUAAUGCAAGAUCACUUGAGGCAUAUGCUAUCAGAGAUGGCAUAUAAUUGGCUGCAGACUUGGGGUAUCGGAAGGUCAUUAUUGAGUCUGAUGCUCAACAAGUUAUAAAACAGUGCAAUUCUCCUGGGGUAGAUCGAUCGGAGAUAGCGACCACUGUGAACGAGAUACAAGAGCUUUGCGGGAAUUUUGAGGAACUUCGGUUGGUGUUUAUUCAUAGAGAAGCAAAUGAAUUAGUGCAUCUUUGUGCUAGGCAAUGUAGUUCCUCUAGGAGAAGAUGCAUCUGGAUUAAUUAUGUCCCAUCCUUCCUUACGGCUUGUGUAAUGAAGGAAUGUAAUCCCGUUGAUUAAAUCAAUAAAGCUCUUGAAAUCCAAAAAAAAAGAUAAAUGUCGCCAGGUUCAUAUUUAAUCUACUAAUUUAUGAUCGACCAAUUAAUCCAGUUGUUAGGACGGUUCAUCGAUUAGUCGCUACUCCCAAGCCAACCGAGCAUGUACCAGUUACUUGUUUCCUGGACAAUGUUCUCACCAUUACUGGUUUUUGAUAAUAGUUAUAUUGCUGGGUAAGAAGAUCUGGGAACGCCCGCCCGAUACGUUUCCAGAAAUAAUAGCAAUCCAAAUAGGACAGGGAACGAGGCACAGUGUCACUCGGAUACGAGUGCUCGGUGCUCCGAAAUCCCAAUACGACUCGGACAUGCACGGCCGGAUCCCAACGAAUAAAUACGUUACUCCAUGAGCUGUGAGCACCUACGUACCUAAGAUUGCUGGCACGACUCAAGAACCAGACGAUCCAUCAUCAUGUACGGGGCCAGUCCGGCGAAAUUCCGGUCGUUCACGCCGCCGGCAAUCACCCUGCAGCCCCCGCUCCCGCCCCACGACGACCCAUGGCCGACCUCCGCCCCUCUGCAGCCCGCGACUCCCCUCGCCGAGCCCGCCGGCGCCAAGGCUUACGAUCAAGAAAUCACCGCGUGCCACCGGUCCGUGGAGGCCGCGGCGCCGGACUACACCUCGAUGAUGUCGGUGCCCCAGAAGCCGGAGACCCCGCCCAUCCUCGCCGUCCUCGUCAAGUGGAUCGCCUCCGUCGCGGUCGGCUUCAAGACGCAGCUACGGUGCGACCUUGAUAUGUGACACCAGUCACCAGGCCGCCUCAUUAUUAAUUUAUUACAGGAAAGAACAGAUCUGUACACUCGCAACGGUCGCAUUAGUAUAUUCUUUUUUCAGGGAUGCAUUAGUUUAUUCUUUGGCAUGCUUGUUGUAGUUGUGUAUUUUUUUAAGAGUCAAUUACAUCAUAGGUGUCUGAACUUGGCGAGAAAAAUCAGUUUGGUGUUAAAACUUGCGGCAUACAUUGAACCGGUGACAGAACUUGGCUUAGGCGUGCAUCUACGGUGCUAAUCACGUUUGUAUACGCAUGGUGUGCUGACGAGGAACACCAACGUGGCGCCGGACCCAGCGUCGGUGACUGCAAGGCGGGGAGGAGGGUGUGUGGCCUGGUUUUUGCAGAAAGCACCCUGGAAUUCUUUUCCUCAUAGAAAAGCCCCUGAAUGAAUACCAAAUCUUGCAAAAAUACCGUGAAACUUAACGACGUCUCUAUGACCCUUGAGGCCCACCCGUCAGGAAAUAAUAGGAAGAGAUAAUAAUAUAUGUAGAUAAAGAGGUGCGCACCAGGGACAUCACACUACGGAGAUGACAAUGCUAACCACCGCACCAAGUCUAGUUUGGUGUCAACAGGGGUAGCUAUAUACAUUUUUUUAGGCAAGGGUAGCUAUAUACGUGACUCCACCCUAACAAGACUGCCAUGUGGGCCCCAGUGUCAGUGACUGGACCACACAGGAGAGGGCGUGUGCGAUGGAAUUUUUAUUUUCACACAAAAGAGAACCUCGAUUUUUCUUAAAAAAACACUGAGACGUCACUAUACAUCUCUAUGACCUUUGGGUCCCAUCCCGCAGGAUACAUUACAAAGAUCAAAUUGAUAUGCAAAAUAUUGUGCCUCACAGGUUCGAACCAAAGACCUGACCCCAUCUGGUCGGCUGCCGAAAUGGCCCAUUUUUCACGCGUUAUUUUUUCUAAAUUAUAAAUAUUAUAUAUAAAGCCGCAAAAAUACAAAUAAAAUAAUGUUUAUGUAAUUCUAAAAAACAUUAUUGUCUAAAUUAUUUUAUGUAAUUCUAAAAAAUAUUCUUUUUAAAAUAAUGUUCACGUAAUUCAUAAAACUGUUCUUAUCUAAAAGAAUAUUCAUGAAAUUCUAAAAAUAUAUGAAAAAUAUUUAUGUAUUAUUUGGAAAAAUAUUUCUAUAACUAAAAUAACAAAUAUGAAUUAUAAUAGUAUUUAUCAAUUGGAAAAACUAUGGUGUGCAAAAUGGGGCGCGGUCGCUCCAGAUCAUUUAAGCCGCAUGUGCGUGAUUGUAGUUAUUAACUACUGCUAUCCUGUAUAAUAAGCAAUGUGGCCUUGUUGUUGUGGCUAGAAUGAUCGUUUUAUUAUCGUGAGGUCGCGGGUUUGAACUGACACUUGGUUUUCGAUGUUAUAAUAUCCUUUUGUACUGUUUCCGGAUGGGUGGGCCGGGUCAUAGAGAUGUAGUUACGUUUCAAGGGAUUUUCCCAAGAUUUGUAUUCAGUCAGGGUUUUUUUUGUGAAGAAAAAAAUAAUUCCAGGGUGUUUCCUACAAAAACCAGGCCACACCCCUCCUCUCCUCCUUCCAGCGUAUUCAGUCAUGGGCUUUUUUGUAAAGAAAAAAUAAUUCUAGGGUGUUUUCUAAAAAAACAGGCCACACGACCUUCUUCCUGCCUUCCGGUCACUGACACUAGGGCCCGCGCCACGUUGACGUGCCUCAUCAGCACACCAUGCGUAUACAAACGUGAUUAGCACCAUAGAUGCACGCCCAAGCCAAGUUUUGUUACUGGUUCAAUGUAUGCCACAAGUUUUAGCACUAAACUGACUUUUCUUGCCAAGUUCCGGCACCUGUGGUGUAAUUGACUCUUUUUUUAAUUUUCGAUUAACAGUUGUGUAUGCUUCUUCGCAAAAAAAGACAGUCGUGUAUGCUGGUGUAUAUAUAUAUAAUCGGAGGUAAUAUCACUGGUAGUGAUACAACUUGCAUUGGAUGUGCAGUUUAGUGUUACAACUUUCAAAAUACAUUUUUCUGAUCAUACAACUUGCGUUUUGGUGGAGAUACGGUCAUUCCGUCUGCAUCCGCCGCUGGCGUGGCAUGCUAUGCAUGCAAGGGGCCACUGUUAGUGACCGAAAACAUCCUGGAGCAACCUGCGCGUGGUUUUCUUGCAUAGACCCCCCUUAACUUGUUAUUAUGUGCGCAAAAAAGUCCCUAGAACGGCGGGAACAGGCGGCCCAUGCAUAUUUGCGAGUGGCACCCCAAUAGCGCGAGAUUAUCGGGCUAUCUUCCGAUGAUGACGAGAACUAGAACUUUCUUCAGUUCAGAUUAGUCUGUCAGCUAAUUUCGGUUCAGUAAUUGCUAUCUUCAGAUUUCGUCAGCGAGUUCAGUAAUAUUAGUGUGCUUAGCAAGUUAAGUUAUCUCUAUUUCAGCAAGUUCAAUUAUCUUUAGUCCAAUUUACAAUGUAAUGUACACUAUAUUUAGUCUGUUUCGAUGCAAAUUUUAUAUUCUGUCAUUUCCAACAAGUGUCACAUUGCAAACACAAAAAUCACAUUACAUCUCUUAACCAUGUUCAAAAUGCAAAGAUAAUGGCACACAUUACAUCUUCAGGCCUCUUACAUCUUUCUUCCUACUAAUUCUUGAUUGCUACUGCAAAGAGAAUGGCACACAAGCCAAAACAAAGGCUAAUUGUGAACACUAGCAUCCUCUCUCUACACAACAACUAUUCCCUGUGAAUCCUUGCAAGCAACUUCUUCUCCAUCUUGCGCUUCUCCCUCAUGGACUGCUUCGCUGCUUCCUUCUCCUCAACUUGAUUCUCAAGCAGCUUGUUCUUCCUAGACAGAUCACAAAUGACAGACCUUUCCCAUGCACUCCAUUCUGGAUCACGCCGCUGCACAUGUGAGAAAUCCUAUACACGUAAUAAACACAUAAAUUCAGCGAUAAACUACAUCUCAUACAACAUAAAAAACAUUUACAAUACUCCCUUACCUCAUAUUGGGAUCCCAAAAGCAUCCUCCAAAGUUGCUCCCUUCUGUUGCCCCACGACGAGCAGAACUUAUGCAUGCCUACCAUUCUCAACAUUCCGCUCCACCCCAUUGAACUGGGCAUCAAACUUGUGUUGUGGCAGUCCAAAAACAAAUUGCGGGAGCUCAUCUACCUAAAAAGCAAAUCUUUCUCAAUAACGGACGAAGCUUUCAUGCAAGAGAUUCAGACAGGACAAGGCAUUACCUCCGUGUUUUUCUUCGAUCCGAAGUGGUAAACAGGCGCGGCCUUCCAUUCCUCCUCUUCGUCGCGAUUGCCAACACCGGAGCCACCCAUCUCACCAAACCAAGAGGGGUAAAAACCAGAUCCUGCCGUCGGCGACCUUUUCCUCACCUCGACACCGACGGCCUCAACAACCUCCUCCCCCAAGCCAGCAGCAGCCGUCGUCGCCCGCCUAGGGUUCUAACACCACAGAUUUGGGAACUAGGAGGAUUUGCAAACAAAGGAGACCACCAGAAGAGGUUAUGUUGGGGCCACUGUAUGCAUGAACUUUUUUACGUGAAUAAAUGUUUUCUGAGGCGGGUCCGUGCAAGAAAACCAUGCGCGGGUUGCUCCAGGGCAUUUUCUGUCACUGACUGUGGCCCCGUGCAUGCAUGGCAUGCCACACCAGCGGCGGAUAUGGACGUAAUGACCGUAUCUGCACCAAAACGCAAGUUGUAUGACCAGAAAAAUGUAUUUUGAAAGUUGUAGCACUAAACUGUACAUCCAACGCAAGUUGUAUGACUACGAGUGAUAUUACCUCUUUUCUUUUGUUGGGGUGAGAUCUUGAUUCUGAGAUUGGUUUUUUAUUUAUACGAGGGAGGUGAUAUCUCUUUCUUUUAUCAUACAUGAUUCUGAUAUUUCUUUUUUAAUUUAUUAGGGACGUGAUAUCUCUUUGUUAUUGUGACACUAGUAAGUGUGCACGUGCAACGCACGUUUUGAUUAAUACCCAUAAGUUAUAAAUGAUACAAUUGGACAUAGAACAAAAGCAUCCAAAUCAAAUCAUGUGCAUACACACAAUCAACACUAUUCACCCAUACGUCUUGCUCUUUUCCUCGUACGUAUAAUUAUUGCGCAAAGAACAUUUGUUAUGGAUCUGAUACAUUUUUCUGCCGACUCAACCUUCCAACCUUGGCUCAAUAAUUGGAAGAGAAUAAACAAAACUACAAAAUCAAGAACCGGGUCUUAAAGACCUAAGUUCCCAGAGGAUUGGUUCUAUUCAACUCCUAACCUGUCACGUACGACAAAGAAUCAUCUUGCAAGAACCAGAGAUAAAAAAGCACGUGAUCUUGGUAAGAUUACACCGUCAAAAAGAAAAUCUUGAUGAGAUUAGUGAAAUUUAGAAGGAUUCGAACAUAACUGUGAUGCUAUGAAAAAUUCCACCCCAUACAAAGUAGGGAAAAUAUUCUUUAUAAAUAUGUAACAUUCUCCAAGAUAACUCAUGAGCCUCACCAGAACAAAUCUCAUAGAAUGAAUAUCACAUCUUUGUAGUGAACGGAUAUAGCAAUUACAUUCAUAUAGAAUAAUUAGUUACGACAUUGUCACCUACUCACCUGAUCGUCUUCAGUCGCAUGCUUGCCGCUCCACUAUAUGGGCUAGAGAAGUGGCAUGCAGCAAGGCUGGGGUGUGGGCGAGGUGCAAUGCCGGAUCGUUUACGAUGGCAGAAGGAUAAUGUGGGACGGCUGCGGGCGUGGCCAAGUGGUGUGGGACGGAAGCCCCGACUGACAUCCGUCUGUGAGGCUCUUAGCUACCAAGAGUUCUGGGGCAAGUGUAGGUGUUCCCUUAAUUUAGAGUCUCCAUAGCAAACUCUGUUAAGAAAUAAGGGAAAGCAUUGAAAUGAAAAUAUGCUAAGGUAACUAUGUAGAGAGAAAGGGAAACGACUAACGGGUUGCUUCCCAAUCUUCAGUCACAACACCAAAUUGACACAAAAAAUACUACUAUAUUAUGAAAAAAUUUAUACCUGCAUUAUCCACUGUUAGAGUACGUAAUGGGCCUAAUGGGCCCAUUAGUCUUAGGGUUAAUUAGAGAUAAGGGUCGCUUACUUAGGGGUCAAGUAAGCCUUGCUUGAGAGUCAAGUAAACCUCUCUAUAUAAAAAGAGGAGAUGUAUCAAUCUAAUCAAGCAAGAAUUAAGAAGGAAAUCCCUUCCCUCUUGCCCGGCCGUGGGCAAAAAGGCCCCCGGCCGGCCCUCUCGCGCCCUCCUUCUAGCAGCGCCAUAACAAUUUGGUAUCAGAUAGCUCAGUUCCGAUCAUGUCUUCGCCGCCGCCCAUCCCAUCGCUUCCGCUGCCGACCGUGACCACCGCGCCGCUGGCCAUCUACACCGCGCCGCUGCCCUCCCCGUCCGCGCUACUGGUCGCAUCCUUUGGCGCCACCACCGCACCACCGGCCGCCGCCUACACCCCGGAGGAGAUCACCGGGGUCCUCAACGACCUCAUCACAGCCAUCCAGGGGAUCCAGCUGUACCUGGCUAGCCCCUACGGGCCGCCGCCGACCGCUGCCAUCGGGCCGCCGGCCCUGCCGUGGUACUCGCUGCAUCCAGGGGCCUCCGCGGCGUUCACUGGGACGCUGCAGCCCCAGCUGCAGCUGCCGCCGCCGCCCGCAGUGGCCGCCGCAGGCUCCCGCCGCGCCUCCAGCGCCCAUCGCCGCCUCCGCGCCGCCGUGGCUGCCGUGGCAGCCGCCACACCAGGAGGCCUUCGCCGUGCUCGCCGGGCCACUGUAGCAGCCGCUGCAGCUGCCAUCCAUCGCCACCACCGCCCAGCCUUGGCUGCAGUGGCAGCCGCCGCUCCUGGCGGCCUCCGCCGCGCCCGGCGCUCCAUCGCAGCAGCCGCUGUCGCUGCCCGGUGCGCCACCGCAGCAGCCGCUGCAGCUGAAGCAGCCACCGCCGGUCAGCUCCGGCCCCGCAUCGACCGCGCCGGCUGGAGUCCUGCUCCACCAAGUCCAGUCCCCGCCAUCGCCGUCACCGCUUCCUUCUUGGAUCGCUACCCGCCACGUUUCGACAGCGGUGAGGCUGCAGGCUGCUGCGCGUGGCCUCCUAGCGCGUCGGCGUGUGCGGGAGAUGCGUGGUCUGCAGCUGUCGCUCCUCCAAGUUGCCCUUCGCUGCGCAGAGGACCUCGAUCUCAUCCGCUGCGUCGGGGAUCUUGGGCAUGCGGUUUCCCCCAAGGGCGGUGGGCCUACUGCUUUCCCCGCGGGCAGCGACCUCAAAGUCUGCGACAUUGCCGGUUGGGGGGGCGCACCCCUCCUCGUCAUUCUCCAUCACAAGCCCUCCACUCUUCCCUGUGCGGUGCAAACCAACAGCCGUCCGGCAGGGAGAAGGCAUGGUGUCACCGACAGCAGCGCACCGCGUAGCACCACUGCAUUCCGCCACCGGCCGCCGCGAGAGCGCCUCUGCUGGUCACUCUUGCGACCACUUCCAGGUGGUCAUACACAUGCACUCCUUUUGUCCAGGUGGUGUCCAUGGGAUCCAGGUGGCUGUACACGUGCACGUCCGACUGCGGAUGGUGUCCAUUUUUUGUUAAAGGGUCCAAAAUAAAGCGUCCCAGUCCAUUUCAGGUUGAGAAUAAUAAAACAAGCCGAGAUGUAAAAGGCUUGUUUUUAGGUGUUAGGUUUGUGUUGCGUCGAGUCAUGGUUAUAAGUUGGUUAGGCUGCAGCUCGAGGACAAGCUGCAUGUCCAGGUGGGGUGUAGUGUUAGAGUACGUAAUGGGCCUAAUGGGCCCAUUAGUCUUAGGGUUAAUUAGAGAUAAGGGUCGCUUGCUUAGGGGUCAAGUAAGCCUUGCUUGGGAGUCAAGUAAACCUCUCUAUAUAAAGAGAGGAGAUGUAUCAAUCUAAUCAAGCAAGAAUUAAGAAGGAAACCCCUUCCCUCUUGCCCGGCCGUGGGCAAAAAGGCCCCCGGCCGGCCCUCUCGCGCCCUCCUUCUAGCAGCGCCAUAACAUCCACACUGCAUCCAUACUACUAUAUUGAGGAAAUUUUAGGACCAAGUGAUAAAAUAUAUGCCAUUUUCACUGUCAGUGCUUUCUUUGGGGCUGAAUUCCUCUCUCAUUUUGUCGGUGGAGAAUUCUCUUUGGACUUGUGUCAACUCAAAGAAAUAACCAAGUGUCCAUAUAUCGUUUGUUUCCAACACCAUCAGCUGCAGUGAAUGAAGACAUCUAGUGAGCGACCACAUAAUCCACACAUCUAGGUUCCAGGGGUGGGACUUACUCAACAUUCAGUCACAUCAUCAUAAACACUUGGAGAUCAAUUCUGAAAACUGAAUAACAUGCCAAAGAUGAAACAAAAUACUUUCAAACUACAAGUAUCAUGCCGAAGAAAUCCAAUUAAUCUAGUCCAAUGCAGGUGCUUCCAAUCUAAUAUUCCUAGUAGCAACAAGCCAUGUUGUAAGCAGGGAAUUUUGAUACAGCUACGUAUAUCCAAGUGUUGCAAACAGGAGUUUAUAUGUCAGGAGCAGGAAAGUUAGUAGCAAGAAAAAUCACGUCAGAUAGAACACAUUAACAAAACACAGAUUUUGCCACAUUAUUACAUAGAACUUCAUUCUCUUUUUGGUAGGUCUUAACCUAGUGUCAUCACGAGCUCUGGAAUCAACACUAUCAACUAUAUCUUUGAAUGACGGCAUUUCUUUCGUGAGACAUAUUUCUAGAAAAGAGUUACUACAAAUACAUCUGACAGACCGAUGUGAAAUAUGUCAACAUAAGGAGUUCAAAGUAAGCUUUGUAUUGUAGGAUGAAUGAAUGGAGUGGCAUGGAGAAUUGGCAAAGAAGCGAAUCUUCCUUUGACCUAGACUGUAGAUCUCAAGAAAACAAGAUCCGGAGGAAGACAGAGGACAAAAUGUGUGCUGCGGAGGGCGACACGUGUGUCAUGGAGGUGACCCUCUUCCUAGCCGCCUUUCCACACCUCAUAGCCUUCUGCACCCCCACUGCACUCCAUAGGUUGCCCUCCCGUCUCGCAUUCCAAGCCUUCCAUGCCGCCGCAUGCCGGAAGCCGGAGGAACGCAUCGCCUUCACGCACACACCCUCCGCCGUGCAGCUGCCAUGACACCAUCGCACCCACGCCACAAGGGCCACCACGCGUCGCUCUGCCGCCAUGGCCCGCACCCACCGCCGCGUCCGUGGGUGCCCGCUGCGUCCUAGUCCGCCGCCGCUGGUCGAGGGGGGAGAGGGACCUUGCCGGCACUGACGCAGGCCGAGCACUCUGGUUCCGCGCCACCGCUUCUCGAGGGAGGAGACACAGGCCGAGCGGCACGCGUCAUGCUGCGGGCGGCACGAGGCCGGGGACGCCGUCGCUCCUGCUUCCUUGGUGGCAUGGCGGGGACGAGGAGGGAGUGUGGGGAUCGUGUGUUAGUUUCCAGCAAGUGCGUGAUUACAGGAGAUGCGUUGAAUUUUUAUCUGGGGUGAGUAAUUCCAUCGCAUUUUUUUCAUGCCUUGCAUGAUUUACGGGGAUGCGUUUUGCGGGCCUGAAGUUUCCUCUGCGGUGGAAUUUGUUCAGUCAAACUAAAUUACUAAGUACACACAAAAGAAGAAUUAGAUUAAAAUAAAGUGUUAGAUUAAAUUUAGUGGGUCUAAUUCUAUGGUGAUAAUGGAUUCGUGUACAUUUUGUGGGGUGUGUUUAAAGAAAUUCUUGUUUGAUUGUUUAACGGAAAUGUUACGUGUGGGCGUUCACCAUCUCGAACACACGCAACGAUCACCGUUGGGGACUUUGUGUACGAAUCUUGGCACAAUCCGGUCAUUUUUCUGCGCCACGUAGGACGAGGCGCGUGUGCGGUGUGCGAGACCGGUCGCCCGCAUGUUGGUUGCCCUCCCGCGGUCAGCAGUUGCCACUCGGGGGCGUGCGGUGGAACCGCUAUGCGCCCGCAUGCCACGCGCCGACCGCGGUUAUCGUCAAACACGUCACGCACCUCUCCCCCUCUCCCUCAUGGUGCCAUUUACUAACCCCCGCAGUUGCUGGCACAACCCACUUCGCUUUCCAAACCAUUGGAGGAGAAGGCGAGGGGAGAAGGCGACGACGUAGGUGGAAGAAUCGACGGUGUUCGCGGCCGUCGGUGGUGCUUGCCGAAACGGUGCGGCUUCGCCGGAGGGCCUGCGGAUUGAAGGUAAUGCUCGCUCCAACUCUCGCAAUCCCUUCCUGCAUUUUCCCCCCUUCCCUCCCUGUUUGAUUCCUCGCUCGAGAUUCGUAGAGAUUCAGGCGAUUUGGCGGUGCGUCGACGUUCCCGUCGACGGCGGAGUCCUGUGCGCUAGCCGUUUUCGGUGGCACUGGGCAGUUUCGUGGACGCCGCGGUGGCUCCCUCAUCGGGGUGGUUAUGCCUGUCCAGAGACACGCACUAGGUGGGCCUUGGGAUUGGGCAGGUGUCUGCCGGUUUGUUAGUUGCGCAUUGGUUCGAAUUGGUGUUUGCAAUCAGUUCGGGGGAGAACUUUGAGGUUGAAUUUGAAGUCACUGUAGUUGCCAUUGAACCCUAGAUCUAGUUAGUUGUUUUUGAAACUGCAUUAUGAGGCAAACGUGGUAGUUUUGAUUAGCUAUCAUGACUGUAUGGCAACUACCUUCCUGAAUGAAUGCGAUAAUUGCCACAAACGUGCUCCCCCAUGCGGCAACUAACUUACUGAAAUGACAGUGAUAGUUGCCACAAUCAAGCUUUCCCAUGCGGCAACCAAGUUAUUGAAUGACAGUGAUAGUUGCCACACACACGCUCUUCCAUGUGGCAACUAAUUUGCUGAAUUACUGUGAUAGCAGCCACAAACAUGUUGUUUCAUUAUGGCAACUAAUUUUCCUGGAUGAUUUGUGAUAGUUGCCACACUGUAUGAAUGGUAAAGUGUAGUAAAUCGGUAGUCAAUGAAGUUUCAGUAACCAACUGCACUGGACGGCAACUAACGUGCACAUCAACCUUGCCUGUUGCCACAUGGACAGUAUAUUCUUGUGGCAAAUAGAAUGUGAACACAUUGUGUCUGUUGCCAUACCGUAGACAGGACUAUGUGGCAAACUGGCUGCAUAACAUGGCAACCAAUUUUGCACAUCAAAUUGUAUCAGAUGCCAUACAUAUGCUUUCCAUGUGGCAAUUUCCUGUCCGACCACAACAUGUAUGUUGCCAUGUUACAGUCAGUACAAUGUGGCAAAAUCAUUGUACUACAGACGCAAUUUUUGUGUUUUUGCCACAAUGACUUGCGAUAUCUGAACACACUGUGGCAAUUUUCAGGUUCUUUGAUUAGAUGUUUUUCAUUGCUUUUUUGUAUUACGUGUUGCAUUUUUAACAUGGCAAUUCAACCCUAGCAUAUUUUUGCCGCUGAACAGAUGGCAUUUCAUUGGUGUAUUUUUAGGACAGGGUGUGAGCUGCCACAUUUUAGUUUUUGUGAUGUGGAGGAUUUUGAGACUAUCUAUCGUACUAUCUUUGGCUAACAUGGCAACUUCAACAUUUUGUUUCAAGUGCAUUUACGAUAUGUACACCUUUUUUCAGAAAAUGCAACCAAUGUGCUUACUUGCCACGUUUAUGUUUUCGACAAUCACAAGAGGGGUGCGUGUGUGUUCACUAAUUGACAUUUUCUGUUGAGUGGCAACUGCUUACCUCUUUGCAUUUUUUCGUUUCCACUGUGACAAUUUUGGUCUGUUCCUAUCUCAGCAGAAUGGCUCGUGGCGAUCAUCAAAAUGAUGACGAUGAUUUCAUGGAUCCACCACAGCAUAAUCAGGCAGUUGGAUGGAAAAAAGAGGGUGAUGAGGUAACUGUCCACACACCUCCCCUCCCCCCCUCCUACUGCUUAUGUUUCUGGAUGCCACCUUGAGCUUUGCAGUUGUCUGUCAUGAACUAAAAUUUCAUGACAGUGCAAAACAUGGCAACAACUGAUCCCUUUUUGUCUCUUUUUUGCAGAAGAAUAAACGUAUUCGCAACAGAGCCUCCCAAGAACGACUGACUAUGUUGACCGACAGAUUUACCGACGAUCAGAAAGGAGCUGUUGCUGAGAUGGGUAUGCAGGCUCUGAUGAACGUCCGGUGCACGAAUCUUGUCAACCCUGUAUGCGACUGGCUUGGUGAGAUUUACGACCCCGCCUCCAGGGAGUUUUUGAUUCCGGGACGUGGAAGACUACCGUUGAACGAGGAAUCCGUGUUCUGCACUUUGGGUGUGCCUCGUGGACAGAUGAAAGUCCCGUACGAGGUCAAUAACGAGAUCGAGGAAGCGUUGUUCCCCCGUUUGUUUCCUGGGUUGGAAUCCAUGUCGAACACGUCUGUACUGGUAGAUCCGCUGCAGGCAAUGACGACCCACGAAGAUGUUUUUAAGAUGAAGCUACUCAUGUAUAUCAUCUCAGCCGUUUUUUCCGCCGACCACUUCUCUUCGGCCAAGCAACAAAUGAUUUCUCAUCCUGGUGAAUGGUCCAUCCUUACUACUUUAUUUUCCUACAAUGUAUUUGGAUCCGAUGUCAUGUGUAAAGCUAGUCACUGCCAGUGCUUUUUGAUGUUUUUUUUUCAUUUGAAUUCUGAUGCGGCAACUUGUUGCCCUGAAAAUCUUGUGCGGUGCAGGCAAAACUGAAAGAUGUGAAGAACAUGAACUGGUGUAAGUUCAUAGCCGACUUCCUGCACGAUGCAUUCUCAAGCAAGAUGUACCAAAAGGGUUGUCGACUGCCUUUAAUGGUAUUUUUUUACCAGUCUUAUUUUGUGAACACUCUUUUUUAACACACUUUCAUUCAUGCAUGGCAACCUGAUCAUAACAAGAUGGCAACUGCUAUAAUGACAAUAUGGCAACUGGCAUAAUGACAGUAUGGCAACUGCCAUCAUAUUAUGAUGGCAAUUGCCAUCAUGACAAUAUGGCAACUACCAUUACACUAUGAUGGCAAUUAGCACAUACAUAUGGCACUUAGCACAUACAUAUUAGUACAAUGACAAUAUGGCAACUAAUAUUUUCUCUCUUUUUAAAAUUGUUGUACAUCAGCUCAUGUACGUCGACUGUCUUGAUCUGUCCACCAUGAAUUUCACUGGGACAGGAGGCCCGCCUCCUAUGCACAAGUUUGUUGUUUGUGCGUGGACUAUCAACGCUGCCAAGGCCGUGCUUGCCGCAGACAGGGUAACUGAUACCAAAUAUGGAAAAUUGCAGGUUAGUUCUGGUUUCUUUCUCCACACGGCAUGCUUACAAAUUUGACAUGAGGCAACCAUAUGUUGUUUAUAAGAGAUGACUACCUUUGUUAUCCAUGGCUUUCUGCGUAUUGUAUCCAUGUCUCACUCCAUAUGGCAACUCUUUCAUUUGUGCUGAAACUUACGUUCUCUCUCUUACAUCCUAGCUAUUUUUUUUGUUUUUUACAGCUGAUGGCCAAGCAUGCUAUAGACUACAACGUGUUUGGGGGGUCUCAAAACUUUGGAAAGUAGAUGGACGUGCACUCAGCUCCGUCUUGCCCUAGUGAGGUAAUCAAAAGAUCUACAUCUAUUUAUUGCCUUUGGAUUAUUUUUGAUGUUGCGCAAGUGACUGUAUUAUGGGGUGGUUAUUUCUCCUUCUUUGUUUCGUGCACAUGCGAGGGCACCUGUUGAGCAUCUAAUUGGGCAGUUUGCAUCUAGAAUGACCGGCUUGCUCGGGAAGUUGGUUGAGGGGUGGACGUCUCUUAAUGGCUCUGACAGCAACGCCAUUGCGAGGCAGUUCACUUCGUUUGUCCCAGAACGGACACAUCGGCCAACUGGUUGUCGUGACCGGUACGACUACAACAGUUCCCAAGAGCUCACUGACACACAAGAUGAACUAGGUGGAGACGCUGGUAUCAACAAGGAUGACGACGAUGACACGAAUAACGCGGAAGAGGAAACCGAUGAUGAUGAACACGCUGAAGUUCGUGCAGGUGCUAACAAGGGGAAGGAUGCGCCAUAUGUCCCCCCACCGGAGAAAGUCAAAGAACGUACGGCUGCGAGAGGCGAGGGGGUGUUGCCAUCAAAGAGGAGCAGGGCUCUAGAGGAUGUUGGGCAGGGUUCUCCUGUCAAGAGGUCUAGGACUGAUCCCGUAGCUGCUAGGAGGAGGUUUGACUUUAAUUUUAGUUUUUGCUUUGUCCAUAUUUUUUGGAACAGAAUGAUCCCUUUUUGCACUUUAUUUUACUAAGCGCGGCAACGAGUUUGCUGUCUGACAAUUGUCACCUUUUUUUCCUCCAACUUAACGUGCAGGGAGGCGACAGCUGGUGGACGAGCAGUUACGAAGAAACAUGCACCAACACCAACCCGUGCUUCUUCUCGGUUGAACAAAGGUGCCCCCAUUGCUGGUGACACCCAUUCCACCAGGUCAUCUCCUCGUACGACGACGUCCAACACCGGGGAUCCUGUCGUGUUGCCAGACCUGAGAAAGCCAGCGAAGAAGUAGGUUUUCCAUGCGCUUUCAUUGACAUAGUGCUAUAUUUUUUGAUUUUUCAAUGCAUCCGAUCAGCUUGUCACAUGGGCUUCUGUCAUCAUCCCCAUAAUGGCAACUGUUGUUUUUCAAAAUGAUUUUCCUUCCCUUUUAUGAGUGCAUGGCAACUCCUAUUUGUUUUUACAUUGCAACUGCUAUCUAGGCCAAAUGGCAACUCUUUACUUUACCUACAUGGCAACUGCCAUCUUUUCCAUUGGCUUGUGUGCUCAUCCCAUACCUAGUUUUGAAAUUGCAUUACUGGAAGAUCAGACAUUUUUUAGCAUUCUUCAAGUUGGCCAACAUGGCAACUGUUGCUGGAUUUGCAUGACAAUUGCUAACUAUGUCACAUGGCAACUCAUGUUCCCCUUACAUGGCAACUACCAGCUUUUCCACUUAUUUUUUUCAUUUUUUAGAUUUCUACCAUGGCAAAAUAUUCUUUGUUCAUUUUUUAACACCCUUUCCAUGCGCUUUCCCUUUUUUUGCAGGGUGAAGAAGACUACUGCACGCACGGUCAAGCAUACCAUUAGGGACCCACUCGAACGUCUUCAUUCAAAGUUGUCAACAGGUGGCAACUCAGAUGUUCAUGAGGCGCCAGGCGACAAAACUGCUGCUGCACCGCCAACUGUUCCCAGUAACUCUGACGCAAGUGGCCGACCAUCUUUGCCUGUUGCAGAUGUGCUGGCUAGAACAACGGGCCUCCGUACAUCGGGGAGUGACGACUCGGUAUCUGCCAGGACCGCUGAAAUAUUGCCCACUCUGCUGGCAAUGAAGGAUGCUGCUGUGAGCCACGCCACCCCAUCAGGAAGUGUUGAAGUGGAUGCCCCCGAGACCAACCUAAGCAAGGAAGAUUCUCGCUUAUCUGACACUGAUUCCAAGCGCGUGCGUGGUGGCACUCAUGUGCCCACUACAGAAGUUGCUGAGGCGGCAGUUCAUAAUGAUAUGCCAUCUGCAGUUGAGAGUCUUGGCACAACAGCUCCAGCUCCUGACUGUGCAGAUAUUGCUCAGGCCACUGUUCCGCGUGCUGGUCGUCCUCCUAGGCGUCGUAGCCCCCGCAAGCAAUCAACAGUCGUAUCCAACGCACCAGCUGCAGCUAGGAGCAGUAGAGAUGAGUCUGGUUACGUUCCUGCGCCCACACUAUUCCCGCCAACCGCCAAAAGCAAUGUUAUGGAGAAACCAGAAGACCAGAGUAGAACUGAUGCAGGUGCCAAGCCGGGCACGAGUGAUGAAGGUGAACGUCCGGAGCAGACUGCACCUUUACCCGUAGUGAAAAUCCCCAGCUUAAAUCUGCGCACUUCCAAACUCCCAAUCAACAUCGGUGUCCCCUACAGCCCUAACAAGAGGAUUGUCAACAAAUCUACGCCCGUCACCACUGACAGCACGCCCCGCCCUAUUGGCAAGCUUGAUGAUUCUGCAGCGGCUGAUCCAGAAGAUAUGUUUGUUGAUCUUUCACCGUUGGAUUCUGCCCUGCAAGUUGUUCGCGGUCUGGCCAGUAGGCAUGAGAGGCACCCAAUGGCCUUCACCCCACCGAGCUUCAGCCUUGGCGUCAGUCAAGAUCAACAAGUGGCUCAAGAUCCUAUGCCAGUUGCCUUUGCUUUUCCUGGAGGCGUGCCCGCAAUGAUGGCGCAGCCAAUGGUUGAGGGCAGGAAGGCUGUCAAGUUCGCAGAGCCGAUCGUCCAAGGUACAUCUAUCAUGUGCUUUUGUCAUUUUCUUGUAUACAUCUUUGUAGUUUGACCUUUGUCCCAAUCAUAUUUUUUUGGGGUUCUCACUUGUUAUGGCAACUGAUAUGCGAUGACAUGGCUACUGGAUUUGAUGCACCAUGUCACCUACACAUUUUUUUGCUGCCAUGCUGCAUUUUUCCAUUGGGCAACCACAUGGUAGCUGUAGUUGUUGUCACAUGGCAAAUACAGUGCAAUAUACAUGGCAACUGGAUUUGCCACACCAUGUCACCUGCAUUUGUUGUUUCCACGCUGCAUUUUUUCCAUACGGCAAGCACACGGCAAGUGGAGUGCCACCCCUGGUUCUGUGAGGCAGCAGAGGGUAGUUCACCCACCUCCCGCGGAAGACUACGAGCCCGAAUUCAGGGCCACAGAGGAACAGAACCAGCUAUACGAUAUUGUCAAGCGGUUUGGAAAUGCGAGGUCCAGCAGCAAGCACAUGAAGGAGCUGAAAGCGUAAAUGACCACACCACAUAAUCUCUUGUUCUGCUUUGCUCUGUUUUUAUCAUUCAUCUUUCUUCAUACUUUCUAUACAUGAUCCGCUUAAGUUUUAGUUCUUUUUUAUUAUUUUACUUAGUAGGCAUGAUUCGUUCGUGUUACGUCAUUUUCAUACAGCUCAUGUUUGGACAAAACCAAGGUCAUUCAAUGCGGAGCGACGUACGUCGACCUGGGUGAUCUUGCCGAGUCCAUGAGGCCAAAUGGUAAAAUGUCGACGAAUGUAGCUGCAUGUGGGAUUGACUACAUCAACAAUCAUGUGGAUAUGUCUCCCGACAAAACAAUCAUGCAUUACAGUGUGACCUGCAAAAUAUGGGAUGGUGACUUCAACCACAAAAUUCUGAGGAAGAAUUUCGCCCAGCACGGUGAAUUCAAGCUCACACUGAAGAAAUAUGUGAGUUCUCCUCCCCCUGGUUGCACUUUUUUUCCACAUGGUAUGGUUUUUUGCCAUCAUCUGCACCCUGUUUAUGUGGCAGAUGUUUCAUGUGGCAUCAGCUGCCGUGCAAACUGACUUUUUGAUUUUUUCCAUCCCGUGCAAACUAUGUGGCAACUUCAAAGUAAAAUACACGGCAAAUUUUGUUCAUACAUGGACGGCAACUUUCUUUGAACUACACCAACCAUAACUAAAACAUUCUACGUGAUUCUACAUUUUUGUCCCUUGAUGUUCUUCAUGUGAACUCUGUUUCUCAUUUCAAUCACUUUUACAUGCAGGUCAUGUUCCCCAUGUUCCAGGAGCUUGCAUCACACGACCCACACGACAAGUGUGGUCACCACUAUGCGAUCUGUCUUGACCUGAAGAACCAACGCUUUGAGGUGCUUGAUUCAAUGCGUUCGGAAGCUGAUGCAGACCUCACUUCGCAUGCUGAAUUCUUCAUCAACAACGUCAAAGAGACAUGGAACCGUCACUAUGAACACUCAAAGGUCCAGAUCAGACAUUUCCCGAUUGAGUACGUGGUGACCACGAAUCAAGGGAACACGUAAUUUCCUACCCCCCUUCCUUCAUGUGCCAUUUACAUCAAUCCCACCCCUCUGUUGUGUUGUUACAUCUGAAUUGAAGUUUAUCACUGCUAUGUCUGUCCUCUUUUUGCGAGUUCACCUGGCUCUUUUUCCUGUACAGGACGGACUGUGGCUUUCACGCGUUGGAAUACUUAGCAAAGUGGGAAGGUAGACUUGUCCCCGCUGUCACAGCUGCAACGGUCGUUGAGCUCCGGAAAAUCUACACAUGGAACUAGUUGACGAAUGAAGAUUUCAACAAGCGGUCCGGAGCACGCGAGUUCGUGGAGGAAGCUGUCAAGAAAGUCAUCAAGAAGUACAAGUGGUCACGUGAAGUUACAACCGGACGCAUACCUUACAUUCUGUUGCCGAGGAAUGUAAGGUACUAUCUCUUUUGUUUCUUUGUCAAAAACUAUGUUCGUGUGCUAUGUUAUGACGGCUACCCCGCGUAGCCUACUAUGUAGUGGUGGUUUGUGAGCAACAUUUGAAUAGGUUAUGUAAUAUAUGUGUGGAUGUGAACCUUUUUAGGCGUGACAACAGAUAUGUUUUUAUGUUUAUCAUUACUACUAUGGUUUCAUCGUUUGUAGCACCAGUUUUGCUGUUUCGAAUACGUCGACGAUGUUUUAAAACAUGGCAAAUGUAGUUCAUCAGACAUGGUUAGUGAAAGUCAUCGUCGUUUUUCAUUUGGCUGUUUUGCUUCUUCUUUUUCAUCGCUAAUCGCACCGGCUAGCAUGGUAGGUUGAUCAUGUAGCCCCAACCUUUCCUGCGGUUGGUGCACGUUACGCUUUUUUUCAACUUGUUUCCCAUGCAUUGCACACAACACACUAUGUGUUACUAAACCGCGUUGAAUUGUCAUGGAAAUAUAUGUGAUGCUGAGUCAUUACAAAUACCAUGUCAUAUUUUUCAGUACAGCUAACAUGACAUAUUCAGUACAAACAACACGGCAGAUCCAAUACAAUUAACAUGGCAGAUGUAGUACAACUAACAUGGAAAAUUUGGUAUAAAAUAGCAUGGCAAAUUUAGUAUAAAAUAGCAUGGCAAAUUUAGUAUAAGAUAGCAUGGCAGAUUAAGUAUCCAUAACAUGGCAACUACAUUUAUCCAUUCAAUGUAUUCUCCUUCAACUUCUGACACCCCUCAAGAGCCAUUCUCCCAAUUUAGUACAAAUAACAUGACAUAUUUUUACACUACAUGCUAUUUUAUACUACAUUUACAAAUACCAUGACAUAUUUUUUAGUAUAGCUAACAUGGUAGAUUCAGUACAAACAAGACGGCAGAUCCAGUACAAUUAACAUGGCAGAUCCAAUACAACUAACAUGGCAAAUUUAGUACAACUAACAUGACAAAUUUAGUUUAAAAUAGCAUGACAAAUUUAGUAUAAAAUAGCAUGGCAACUACAUUUAUCCAUUCAAUGUACUCUCCUUCAGCUUCUGACGCCCCUCAAAAGUUAUUCUCCCAAUUUAAAAAAAAUCACAACAUAUAGGGGUACAAAACGAAGUGUCCACAAGGACCAUGUCACAGCGCCCCAAUUUUUGCUUAUGGAUUGCCCGUUCCUUUCUUUGUUUUCUUGUGUUUUGCUUGAAUCUCCAAUCCCGAUUUGUACCUUAUCUCUCUUGGACGACCUUUUGUGAUGGAACGGGGUGGGUUCCUGACCUGGGUUUGUGUGCUUGCUGUUCCAGAUCCUAUCUUUGAGUUUUCAGAUGAUGGUCCCGUGGACGAAGGCAUACUUGAUGUGCGAGGGAACCUAUGUAAGGCUUCCUCAGCUUUCCUCUUCUUGAUCUCAUCAAGCUCUCUUUCCAGGGCCUUCCUGUGUUUUUCUGCGACUCUCGAUGUCUCAUCACUCUUGCAUGCUUCAUCAAUUAGCUCAGCAUAAUUCUUUGUCAACACAACAUGCCUCACGGCUUCCAUGGUUGACUCCGGUCUCUCGUCAUGCACAGCCAGAACUGCGUUUGUUGUUUGCGGCGCCAACGCGUCGUCAGCGUCCCAAGUCCAUCGCCGCCUUAUGAAAUGGCAGGGCAUCCGUGUCACAGCGUUCAUGUCCAUUACUUUUAGUAUGUGACAGCACACAAUGCCGUCCCGUUCAAACUUGCAGCAUUGGCAGUAGUAUUCGCCUUGGUCUAUUGAGGCUUUCACGAAGUAGUUCAUUCCUUUGUCCGGAUCUUCAGGUUCUGAAUCCGACAUGCCCAAAAUAGAACACACCUUGAACGUAUGUUCGUCAACCUGGAAAGCCGUGAACAUGCUGGCAUGCUUUAUUUCUUCCUGGAAUCUACAAGUUUUGUGUGUUUUCUGUUACACAUGGCAACUGUAGUACAUAACACAUGGCAACUGUAGUACAUUAGACAUGGCAACUGUAGUACAUUAGACAUGGCAACUGUAGUACAUUAGUCAUGGCAACUGCAUUGCACUUUCAACUUGCCAUUGUCAUUUCCAUACAAACAUCCCAAAUAGAAGCACAAUGCUUAAAACAUGGCUACUACAUUUAUUAAACAUGGCAACCUCAGUUGAGCAAAUAUGACAUUUUUGCAUUUCAGGAAACAUGUCAACUUGCAUUUCAGAAAACAUGGCAAAUGCAGUUCAGUAAACAUGGCAACUACACAACAUUUUCAUUUUGGCAUUGGCAUUUUGCAUACAACAUGCCUAGUGGAAGUACAGUGCAUUAAACAUGGCAAUUGCAUUUCAUUGAACAUGGCAAGUGCAUUCCAUUUGAAGAUGCCAACUAUAGCUGAGCAAGCAUGACAAAAACAGUGGUUCACUAAACAUGGCAACUGCAGUUGAGUAAUCAUGUCAAACAUUAGUUCAUUAAACAUGGCAUCCUCAGAUCAUGGCAACUGCAUUGCAUUCUACAUGGCCCCUACUGCCUCCAUCGGUAAAUACGUUAGCAAUUUUGGCUGCUUUAGCGCGGUGGUCGCUUCUUGCUGUAGCUCAGAUCCCAGAAUUUUUUGUUGCAAAGCCGUGUAUUGCUUGGCAAACUGUAGCAAUGAGUUGCCAGGGCUCACGUACCGCUUCAAAACAGCAUUGAACCCCUCGCUGCGCUGCGUAGUCUACAGAAAGGGGAAGAAGCACUGCAUGAAGUAGACAGGCACCCAGUACAUUCGCUUCUCCCACGGGCUAGCAAGUGUCUCAUUGUCUUGGACUUGAUAUGUUUCAAUCAUGGCCAUCCAGCUCCUUUCAAACUCCUCCACCGUCAAGUUGUGGUCCACGCACAGCUCGAAUGCCUUGUGGAGCUCUGGACGGUCAGCAAAGAACGGUCCUAGCGUCUCCUCAGCUUUCUUUAUAAUGUGCCACCUGCAGUGCCUGUGCACUGCCAACGGAAAGACCCCCUCUAUGCCUGCACGCAUGCUAAAAUCCUAGUCUAUUAUUAUGUUCAUCGGAGCAAGUCCAUCCAUGCAUUCCAAGAAGGUCUUGAACAGCCAAACGUAUCCAUCCGUGUCUUUGUUCCGAACGAGCCCGCAGCCGAACUGCAACGACUAAUUGUGGUUAUUUAUUCCUAUGAACGGAGGCAUGGCAUCUUGUACAUAUUAGUGAGAUACGUCGCGUCAAAUGAAAUGCAAUCUCGGAAAUGUUUGUAGGCUCUCCUUGCAGCACCAUCCACCCAAUACAUGUUCCUGACACGGUCCUUAUUGUCCAACCUUAUCCUGUAGAAGAAAUCUGGAUCUUCCUUCGCUUUCUCAUCAAAGUAGGCCAUUGUGGCCUCUAUGUCAGCCAACUUGCUUUCUCUACGGUACUUUGCCUGUAGGUUUGUGACGUCAGCUGGUAUGUAGGGCAUGCUACUCAGAGUCCCCUUUUUGCUGUGGAUAAGUGACAGUAUCUGGACCAUUUUUGAUGGACUGACGUUACAAUCAUGUAGCAGCUUUACGAAUUGUCUUUCAACGGGGGUGAAUUAUCUAUGUGCGAUCAGAAAUUUUACCAGGUCGAACUUUUUUAUGAGUUUGUGGUUGUGCUCGUCAAAAUAGUCAGUGACCACAUAUUGUGUUCCAUCCACGUUUAGCUUACACCGGACAGGGCAUCCCGUCUUGAGAAUGACCCCUCUCUUUCGUUCUGGAACGACAGGCGCAACACCUUUCCCCUUCUUGUUCCUCCGUGCCUUGUGACACAUCAUCUCAGCUCUGCUGUACUCGUUUGUUUUCUUAAUCUUCCUAUGAUAUUCGGUGUUGACCGCAAACCCAUGGAACUUUGCAUAUGUCUGAUAGAAUUCCUUUGUUUCUUCGAACGAUUCAAAUCUCUGUCCAACGUACGGUGGCUGAGGUACCAAGAUCCCUGAUUGCCCAUCAUCUUCAUCCCCUUGUGCCUCAUCGUCAGUUUCAUCAUUCACUUUAAUAUCGACGGCAGUUUGAUCUGCUUGAGUGUUGCCAGUGCUUGUCUUCAAAGGGGUGCUUGUCGGCAUUGCAGGAAUGAUUGCCAUUUCUGACUCUGACUCGGGAUUAUCUGCGUCAUAACUUGUGGCUGGCUGGAGGACCGCAUCUUCCGUGCGCUCAGAGCUCCCCGCAGUAGAUGCCCCUGCACCGCUGUUCACUUUAGUCAUAGGCCCUGUAAUAGAAAAAACAGGAACAAGCGUAAGAUCUUUUGCUUGAAUGACAUGUUUAUCAUAACAGAGUACAUGAACUUCAAGUGAUUUGGCAUGACAUCAUUCAAACAAGCAAGCUGUUAGUCUGCAUGUCGACAUGCAUGGCAACUGUAGUUGUCUAGUCAUGGCAGCUACUGUCCAACAAACAUGGCAACUACUGGUUUUUCAGUAUUUGCAUCAGUCAUGCAUGGCAACCAGCUCAUUUUUUCAGUAUGAAAACUUGGAUUUUAUGUGCAUGGCAGCUGUAGUCAUGCAUACAUGGCAAAUACUGCCGCUAACGCAUGGCAAACUAGUGUGUGCUAGCAUCAAUUUUUUUAUAUUCUAGCUUCGAUCUCACCAUGCAAAUUUUUCAAUUUACCUUGUUGUGCUGUACGUGCCCAUCUUGUGUGGUCCGUAACACCAAAUUGAUGUGCUGUAUCUGCAUUGUGUAAAGCUUGCCAUGAAAUGUUUGUCGGGGUAGAAGCUCCGUAAUAACCUGUAAACAUGGUAUUUAGAUGGGUAAUGCAUGGUAAUUGCAAGUUAUCCAUGGAUGGCAAACUCAAGUUGUCCAAGAUAACAAAUGCAGUUGUCCAGGAUGGCAAAUGCAGUUGUCCAUGGAUGGCAAUUGCAGUUGUUAUGGGAUGGCAACUACAGUUGUCAAUUACGCUCCUUCUGCUAAUUCAUCGUCUGCAAUUUCUGUUUUUACGGACUAACCUGUGUACGACGUCGAUGGCAGGUACAUGGGUGCCGACUGCCGCCAUGUGCUGCACGAAGGCUCUGCAUUUUUUCCCGACAUAACUCGUGAGUCUUUUUGCCAUCCUUUUGUAAGUUUAUUUUUCAUGUGCAGACCAGUAUGUUUCAUUUUCGUAUGUGUUACCUUGACUUGCCACAUUAGCUACUUGAAGUUGGCUGCCCGCACAUUUGUCAGUGUUAGCGCCCUGUGACUGAACUUGCCAUGGUGCCCCCCUAAGUGUGUUUUGGUCAUAAGAACCUGCAAAAAAAUGACAGUGUAGGACAUAAGUAGAAUGUCAUCUUCAUCGUCGCGAACAUGGCAAAUGUUCUUUUUCUUUUGUUUCUCAUGUAUCAUACCAAUGCCUGCGUACUGUUCUAGUAGUGGUAGCAACGGCCCUGCUGAAAUGAGUUGACUGUAUUCUGAUGCAUCCGAAGGGGGCGUUUCUGGCCUUUGAGAACCGAAAAGAUCAGUGCCAUCUCCGUGACUCAUUCUUUCCCGCGUCUCAUUUCCUGCCACCGUGCUAUCAAUCACUGCAUGAACAAGAACGCAUCACCAAUCCACAAAAAAUGUAUCCUUGUGAUGCUUGCAUGUAGAAGUUAACACAUCAGUGUUAUCACAUUUCCAAUGCGUAGGUAACCAACAUAUCAUGACUAGUAGGAAUUAUACAUCCACUAUCUUUUUCUAAAAUAUGAGUGUCAGCUAAUCGUUCGAUUUGAUGGCAUCAGCCACUACAAUAGGAUAGCAAGCUAUAAGUUGACAUGGUGGCAGUUGACGACAAUGAUAGGUGGCAACUGAUGUUAGACACUAGUAGCAAUUAUUUUUGACACCCUAUAUUAUUCCAAAUUUCUAAAUUUUCUCUAUGUUUUUAUGGAUUCCUACACAUCCAUCCAUUUACCAACUACGUGCAUCAAUCUACAAAGAACUUACGGUUAUCUCCAACACAGUACAUGGCAGAUCUAGUGUGCUCUGCUUGACAACUGCGAAGACACACAACCCACGUAGGAUGGGUCUAGUUGUCAACCUCGUCGGUAAUUUUUGUACUUUGCGCCAUGUAGAAGGAUGAGAAGCAGUAGUUAGAUCGGGAGAUUACCUGUUUUUUAGCUGCUCUUCUUUGGAGGGCGUGCUCUUCUUUGGAGGGCGUUGUUGGAUUGGGGGUGGGGGGAGGGGGUGGGGGGAGGGUGGGGGUGUGGUUUCAGGUGGAUUACAGAUGCCAUGUUGAUCCUGGUGCAAGGAUGCAAUAUCCAUGACCGAGCGCAACAUGGGUGGAUUGGUGUAUUUUGGGGUUUAGAAUUUUGCAUGAAAGGGGAUAGGGGAAACAAGAAGAGGGGAGCUGCACCUUGGCAAGUUGGAAGCGAGAGGAUCCAUGACAGUGAGGCAGCGCCGCCGGGUGUUGGGACCAGGUUCGCUCGAGGACGGACAGGGGUGGCGGUUUUGGCGUCGCUGGCACCGGCGUCGUGGGAAGGCGGCCUCGAUGGCCUGGAACUCCGCCUCGCUGCUCAGCGACAUUGGGCAGCGGGCAGGACAUCUACGGGGCAGGACGUGGAUGGCAGAACAUUGAAUUGAGCCAUCGGAUUGGAUGGCAGACCACCGAAUCAAUAUGAAUAAAAAAAACAUCAUCAUCGGCUAAACCCAUCACUUUGUCCAUUCAUUUCAAAACUGUUAGAUCCCUUGGACCUUAGGUUGAUACUGUGCCCAAGAGGUGCUCUCGGGUCAAUGAACCACUGGCUGGCUAGUGUCAUGCCAUUAGCUUGCUGUCGUUAGGGAAGGUAAUGGAUGUAUGAGAUAGAAGGGGGAUUCAGGCCUAAGAAUUUAUUUAUUGAUAGCUUGGCUAGAUUAGCCGUGGCUGCCUCUAUUUAAAGAGGAUGACCUUGCACGUGAGACUCCAACUGAACACAGACUCCUUCCUAAACAUGUUAAUGAAUUACCUAAGACUCUUGCAACAAUCCAAACUUGAAAAACAUUCCUAAUCUGAUCCAACAGGUUACCAAUCCUGACUGGAUCCUGUUGACUUGUGUCCUACUCCAACCGAUGCCUAACCACGUACAAGUGGAUUCCAAACCUCUGGUAGGGAAUUCUCCACAUAGCAAAAGCUGUCAUCCGUUUAUAAUAUUCUUGCAGCCUUGCAUGUUUCCUCAAAUAGUGCAUAUCAGUUAUAAAAAACAAGGGAUCAAAAGUAUUAACAGGUAAGAGGUCUAACUCAAGAAAUUCACCUCCAUGGUUGGCCAAUGGCAACAGGUCUUGCUGUUGCAAAGUUGAUUUAUCCGAGAGUGACAUGCCCUGGGUCCAAAGGAAGGAUCUCUCUCAUCUCCUGAACGUAUUUGUAUCCUUGUCCUUGAUGAAGUGAGAUAAUCAUGUUCUCCGUACUGAUGUUUUCUUGCAAGAGAAAUCCCAGUUAGCGAUUACUUGUUCAUAUAAGAGGAACAAUCAUAAUUCCCUCUCUAAGAUUCAAAGCAUUCUUGACACCUGCACACAAUUCACAUGGGAACUCGAUUUUUCAUUUACCUAUGCAUGGCUACCAUCAUCUUAGUCUGUCUUUUGCUUUUUCGUAAAUUAUGACACCAAAGUCUUCAUCUUCUAUAUUUAUUUAAAACUCAGUGUCAUCAACAAAUAUAAGCAUCCCCAUCAAACUAUGAACCUGCUGCAUCGCAACAACACGAAAUAAUUGUAAUAAAAUAUCACAGGAAGGAUAUCAGAAGACGCCAAAAAUAGGAUCAACCCACCAUGAGUACAACCUAAGAAACUAUUGAUGAGCUUCAUUCAACGCUUCGUGACCCAUAAAAUCCAAUGAUGCCUAAUUAGAGACAGGUUGUGCCAGUGCAGUGUUCCAAUGAUGCCUAAUUAGAGACAGGUUGUGCCAGUGCAGUGUUUGGCCUAAACCGUGUGUGACUUUAUUUUGCAAGUUAACUUCGUGCAAUGAAAAUAACUAUCUGUGCCAUGGAUCAAGAGGUUACCAUUUUUCUGAACCGAAAACUGUAUGGGAGGGACAGUAAUCAAUAGGCUACCUGCUUAUCUGCCAACACUCCCAUCUCUAUGCAUAUCUAUGGCUACCUGCUUAUCUGCGACCACUCCAAUCUCUAUGCAUAUCGAUGGCUACCUGCUUAUCUAUAACCGCUCACAAGUCAAAACCUCAUUAACACUCAAUUAUCUCCCCUCCAGGCUCCAGUUCAACAUAUGAGAUAUUUCUUACACUAUUACACAUGUUUUAAUUUAAACCCUUUUUCAGCAAAUACCAGAUGGAUUAUAAAGAAAAUAAACAAUGUUAUGACAAACAGGGAAGAUGUAAAACAUAAUACAACACCUGAUUAAUUGUCGGAGACACGGGACAAUCCAAAAUAUCUAAAAACAGAACCCUCAAUGAUUGAGCAGUGAGCACCAUGAAAUAAGGUUUCACAGGCAGAAGUAAGAAAAAUACCCUUAGUUUUGUACCUACCAUAUCGAUCAAACAUACCACUUCCUUUGAAGUAGAAAAGGUUAAUUUACGAGGAUUUCAGUCUUCAGCAGCUUUAUGCAUGGAUUCAUGAUCUGCAUGUAAUAGCUCGACCUCAUUCUUAGAAGUUAUUUCCUUUUUGCAAUUUCUUAUCACGUUCAACCUUCUCAUUGCAUUCUCCAUCCUCCAUUCAAGAAUUUGAUCCUUAUAUGAGGGAACAAAGCCCCUAUCCUCUAUAUCAUUCAGUAGUUUCUCUCCUUCCAACAUUCUGCCUGUUGCAUAGAUAGCCCCAAUCAUUGUGGUGUAUGUUGUAAUGUUCGGCCGAAGUUGCUUAGAUUUCAUCUCUUCAUAAAGAUCUAACGCAUCAGAAACACACUUGUUGUUGCAUAAACCUGUGAUUAGAACAUUAUAAGUGACUACAUCAAUCUUCAAUCCAUACAACUCCAUUGACCCUUUGAGGUGCAGAGCAUCUGUAAUCUUGCCUUCUUUACAGAGACCAUGCAUUAGGGUAGUGAAAGUAGCAAUGGUUGGCACCAUUCCAGCCCGUAUUAUGCUACAGAAAACUAUGAUACCCUCUUCAACCUUUCCACAUUUACUAAGACCUCUAACAAUUGAGCUUUCAGCAACUUCAGCUGGCACAACACCAAGAGCUGCCAUUUCCUCUUUCAGCCUGAAUGCUCCAUUGAUGUCCCCAAGCCUGCAUUUUGCAUUGAUUAAUGCAAUAUAGUGUGUAUGAUUCGGUUCAAGUCCACUCUCGACCAUGUCACGUAAAACAUCACAACUCUGCUGCAGCCAAUUUUUCCUGAUUAAUCCAUUUAUCAUGGCACUGUAUGCUUUACUGCUAGGUGACAUAUAUAACCGCUUCAUGCAGUUGAAGAGCUGUAAAGCAUUGGACAUCCUAGAUUUUUCACUACAUACAGUUAUGAGUACAUCAAAUGUUAAUCUAUCCGGAUAAAUGCGUUCUAAGACCAUCUUGUCCAAGAACUUAAUCGCAAUUUCAGUCAUACCAUGUUCCGAAAAUCCAUGGAUAAGCAAACGAUAUGUCACAUUGUUCGGCCUAAUCCCUUUCCUUACCAUAUCUUUGUAUAGAUAAACAGAUCUUGACAAAUGUCCCUUCUUGAUGUGCCCAUGCAUAAGAAUGUUAUAGCUGGCUGGGUUUGGAUAAACCUCAUUAUGAUACAUAUCCCGAAUCGUCAUAUCUACUUUAUGUAUCAUUCCUGCCUUUAGGUACCCGUUCAUCAUUGAGUUGUAGGCAAUACAAUCUGCAUACAUGCCUUCCUUGCAUAUGAUCUCCUGGAACAGGUAAGAAGCAACCUUAACUUGACCUUCCUUGAUCAAGCCAUUCAACAAACAGGUAUAUGAAACAAUAUCAGGGACAAAUCCUUUCUCCAACAUCAUCUGCAACAGGAUGACUGCAGGAACAAUUUUGCCUUUUCUGCAAAAACCACUAAGAAGAACAGUGUAAGUAUGGAUGUCAGGUAGAAAGUUACUUGUAACCAUUUUCUCACAUAAAUCCAGAGCUUCAUCUAGAGUUCCGUCUUUGCAAAUCCCCAGAAGUAAUGCAUUGAAGGUUUCCUGAUCAAUGGCAGAAGGUAUGUCAACAAGGCAAGCCAUGAACUCCUUUGCUUGUACCAAGUGGCCGCCCUUGCAUAACCCUCUAAGCAAAUUCCUAUAUGUGCCAACAUUUGGAGAACAACCAAAUCUAUGCAUAUUAUCAUACACUGAGAAUGCCUCAUGCAUAUUACCUCUGGUGCAGUAAAAGUCUAUUAUACAGUUGAAAGAGGCAACAUCAAAUGAUAUCUUCAUCCUAGACAUGUAUUGUUUAAAUUGCUCAGCCUGUGUAACCAUUCCUUCUCGAUACAGCGUACAUAACAAUGUAUUAUGGAUGAAUGAAUUGGCAGCUAGGCCCCUCCGAUAUAUAUCAACAAAAUACUUUAGUGCUUCUCCGAUAUAUCCAGCCUUGCAACAAUAGCAAACUAGAGUUGUAUAAAGAACCUCAUUAGGCAAAACUCCUGUUUUAUGCAUCCUUGAUAAUAUCUCUUUUGUUUCGUCCAACUUACCCAUCUUGCACAUACCAUUGAUCAAUGCUGAAUAAGUAACAACAUCUGGACUGAUCCCAACCACAAGCAUACUCUUUAAAAUUUGCUUGGCUUUAGAAACCACUCCUAGCUGACAGAAACCAUCAAUCAGGAUAGUAUACAUAGUCCUAUUGAUUGUUGUGCCUCUUGCUUUCAUAUCUUCAAUAAGAUUCAGUGCAUGUCCCGGCAUGGAAGCUUUGCAAUAACCAUUCAGCAUUGCACUAUAAGUUAAUUCAUUUGGUUUCACACCAGCAACUUGCAUUUCAUACAGAACUCUUAAAGCUUCACCAGUUACCCCACUUCGGCAGUACCCAUCAAUCAAGGUGGUGUAAGUAGCUAGGCUUGGCUUCAAGCUCUGUUUCAGCAUUUCAUUGAAGAUAUAGAUAGCAAGUUUCAUCUUACCUUCAUCGAAAAAUCCUUUGAUCAAAGUAUUAUAUGUACACUCAUCAGGUGAUAAGUUAUUUCCCCUCAUUCUUUUGAGCAAAAGGUAAGCACGCGUACUCCUCUUCAUUUUACAUAACUUAUCAAUCAUGAUGUUAUAAGUAUAUACAUCUGCCUGUACACCAUUCUUCUCCAUAUCUUCUAAGACACGCAUGGCAGCCUUGAACCUUCCCUUCUUAACAUACCAGUAAAGUAUUGUGUUAUAAGUAACACCGUUUGAUAUGGACCGACUCUUCAUCUUUUGUAGCAUAAGAUUAGCCUUUUUAAGGUUACCAUCAAGGCAAAAAUAAUUCAGUACAAUAUUACAAGUGGUGACAUCCAAUGGGAACUUCCGGGCCAAGCUUUCUUUUAAGAAGAACCAAACAUGUUUUGAUUCCCCAACUUCCACAAGAGCGUUAAGGACAGCAUUGCAGGUGUGAGUUGAAGCCUUAAAUCCACAGUCAUCCAUCAAUAAAAUUGCCUUACUUGCAUCAACAACUUUUCUUUCCUUUAGAUAUGCAUUGAUAAGAAGGUCAAAAACCAUGGGACUGGAAUCACAACGCGAGAUGGUUCGGAGAAGGGAGCUAAAUAUAGCAGAGCAAGAGAAGCCCGCCAUGGCAAGAUGCUUCAACACUGACAUUGCUUGUGAAUGCAUUUGAGCUUGGAUGAGGAUAUGAGCUGCCAGGCAGUAAACAUGAGUGAUUCGCUCCAAACCUGAUUGUUGCACAAUAGAACCCAGUAUCUUCAAGGCUAACUUUCCAUGAACCUUGUCAAGCUUCCCGAACUUGUACGCCAUGUGAUUCAAGGUCUCCCAGUGAUGCAUAGUUAGGACACUGAUGAUGCUACUCUCAACUCCAUGAACUGAAAGAGAUAACCAAAUCAAUACGACAACAACAAAAUGAUGAAACGUCAAAAGAGCCAAAACUGCAUCGGCAUCGAGUACUUCUAGUAUUGCAGAUGAGAAGCAACCAAUGAAAGCCAAACAAGUUAAAUAUGCAAAGAAUCAGCUGAAGCCAACAAAUAUGUAUUGACAUCCUAGAAAGCUGUGGGGGCUUGUAUCACUUAAGCAAUGUAGCUCAUUUUGGUCAAUGCCAACAAGAAAUCAACCAAGUUGUCGGUUCAAAUGCACUCACCAAGUAAUUAACUUGACAGUUUAAUAGACAUUACCACAAACAACUUACGUGCAUUAGUUAAGUCAAAACAGAGGUAUUUUACACCUCAGGCAUAGUAAUUGAACCGAGAAAAAGGAGUAGCUAAAAAUUAUCAAAAUUCUGAGCAUUGCUUGGCUCCACAGCUUCCAGUUAUUCGGAAUUUACAAAAUUGACAGAACUCAAUAAGGAAGGAUCUAUGAUGGUAAGCAAAAUAAAUUUAUGUGUGUCAUGACUAGUUCUUCUAGAACAACCAAGGCAGGCAAUAUCUUUUAAUUAUAGUGGGUAGUAUCUUAGCUGUAGAUCCCACGCAUUUCAAUCUGUGCAAACUUCGACACACCCUUGCGAACUAGGGUGAAACGGUGAAAUCAGGAUAAAGCUAAUACACUAACAAAUCCGACUCCCCCAAGUGCAGAGGAAUCGACAGGCACGCCAACUCGCAUUUCCACAAACAGCUUCGGUGCAUCCCACUAAUCAGACGCGAUACACAGAACAGAACAAAAAUUGGAUUCCUUCAGUCGAGAAGGUUUUUAAUUACCUCUGGCGGCGGCGCCAAUCCUGGUGUGGGCCGGCUGCCUGGAGCGGGAGGGGAGCCGGCAGGAGUAGAGCGCGUGGGAGGCCGCCGCCUUGGAGUCGAGGAUCCUGCGGCGGUACGAGGAGGACGCCAGGGACGACGACAUGGUGAGCGCUGGGUAGGCUGGAGCAGGCGCAGCCGACGCCACUCCAAGAGUCCAAGUGAAGGUGCGGCUGGCGUGGCGGGCGGCGGCGUGCAGCGCUAGAUAGGCCCGCUCGGCGUCCGCGUUGGCGCGCAGCGCGGGCGGAGAGGAGGCGGCGGCGGCGGUGGCGCGCAGACGCAGUGCGGAGAGAGGCGCGGCUCCUCACUCAGCGCAAACAGGGGGAGUGGCUCCGUUCCGCUUCCGCAGCAGUUCCUGGGGCUGCUGGGGCGGCGCCGUUUCUCCCACGUUCUUCGGACUGGGAGUGUAUUGCACUUGUUAUUAGUCGUCUUAGACUCAGUAGCAUUCAAGCAAGCUCAAUCUUACUCCCUCCUUUUCGGUUUAUAGGGCUUAUUUUAAAAUUUCAGUUUUUCCAUUUUAUAAGGCUCAAUAUGAUUGUUCCCCAUUACAUGUUCAGAUUUCAAGGUGCAUUAAAUCAUUGCAUGCAAAUAUUAAGAGAAAAUUGACCAAUGCAUGUACUUUAUGCAUGCAUGCAUUGCAAUUAAUAUAUUGGUAAACAUAAUUUUUUGAGGAAAACAAGAUCAUUAAUUAGGUGCUUUUGCAAACUACAAACAGUAUUCCACCACUCAUCAUCUACCUUGGUUGGUGAGAUUUUUGAAUUGAGUCCUAUAAACCGAAAAGGAGGGAGUAUAAUCUUAUUGCUUCUAAUUUCCUGGCCGUACGAUGAAGUUCCAAGAUUUGUGCUUUUCUUAGAUGAAAAGGAAACCUGUCCCCGGCUCCAUUGCAUAAUGAAAUCAAGAUUUGUGCUUGUCCCGCAUGCCGGCAUGAUACGGUUUUCAAAGUCAUGAGCAACGAUCUCCGGCCAUUUCAUAGACGAGAUUGAAAAAUAUAUCAUGUAUGGUUUUUAAAUAUGACGAUGUAUAGUAACAGAAAAAAAA